CCUACGGGAGGCAGCAGUGGGGAAUAUUGCUCAAUGGGCGAAAGCCUGAAGCAGCCACGCCGCGUGAAGGAUGACGGCCUUCGGGUUGUUAAACUCUUUUAGCAGGGAAGUACCGCGACUGUCCUAUACCGCUGUGCAUUGACGGUACCUGCAAAGGAAGCACCGGCUAACUCCGUCCCAGCCGCCGCGGUAAUACGGAGGGUGCGAGCGUUAAUCGGAAUUGCUGGGAGUAAAGCGCUCGUAGGCGGUAUGUUAAGUCAAAUGUGAAAUCCCCGGGCUCAACCGGGGAACUGCAGUUGAAACUGGCAAGCUUGAGUGUGGGAGAGGAUGGUGGAAUUCCAGGUGUAGGGGUGAAAUGCGUAGAUAUCAGGAGGAACACCGGUGGCGAAGGCGGCUUGCUGGACCAUAACUGACGCUGAGGAGCGAAAGCGUGGGUAGCAAACAGGAUUAGAUACCCGGGUAGUC
RNAcentral lists this ribosomal RNA (465 nucleotides) under uncultured bacterium. RNAcentral describes it as "partial 16S ribosomal RNA". It matches the Rfam family "Bacterial small subunit ribosomal RNA", at positions 338 to 795 of the family's 1533-position model. The record is from RNAcentral.